RNAcentral lists this unclassified non-coding RNA (332 nucleotides) under soil metagenome. Its description in RNAcentral is "partial contains 5.8S ribosomal RNA, internal transcribed spacer 2, and large subunit ribosomal RNA". The stretch from base 1 to 120 matches the Rfam family "5.8S ribosomal RNA", at positions 35 to 154 of the family's 154-position model. The record is from RNAcentral.
GAUGAAGAACGUAGCGAAAUGCGACAAGUAAUGUGAAUUGCAGAAUUCCGUGAAUCAUCGAAUCUUUGAACGCACAUUGCGCCCGCCAGUAUUCUGGCGGGCAUGCCUGUUCGAGCGUCAUUUCAACCCUCAAGCACAGCUUGGUGUUGGGACUCGCGUUAAUUCGCGUUCCCCAAAUUGAUUGGCGGUCACGUCGAGCUUCCAUAGCGUAGUAGUAAAACCCUCGUUACUGGUAAUCGUCGCGGCCACGCCGUUAAACCCCAACUUCUGAAUGUUGACCUCGGAUCAGGUAGGAAUACCCGCUGAACUUAAGCAUAUCAAUAAGCGGAGGA